Molecule: transfer RNA, 74 nt
Filed under: Candidatus Woesearchaeota archaeon
Lineage: Archaea; Nanobdellati; Candidatus Woesearchaeota
Description: tRNA-Thr
Rfam family: tRNA
About the family: Transfer RNA (tRNA) molecules are approximately 80 nucleotides in length.
Source: RNAcentral
GCCCCAGUGGCUCAGCAUGGUAGAGCACUUCCUUGGUAAGGAAGAGGUCGAGGGUUCAAAUCCCUUCUGGGGCU